Molecule: RNA transcript, 1623 nt
Organism: Athalia rosae (coleseed sawfly)
Lineage: Eukaryota; Metazoa; Arthropoda; Insecta; Hymenoptera; Athaliidae
Gene name: glycerol-3-phosphate dehydrogenase [NAD(+)], cytoplasmic-like
Exons: 10
Source: RefSeq, a predicted model, not a curated record
AUCACGCAAACACGUUUUGUGUUGACUGCUGCAGGCCGAAGAGCAGUUUGAUCACUAACUCAACUUACUCUGUUGGAGGCGGUAAAUCCCUCCACAAAAUUCCUGCACGAAGCAUAUCAUCGGUAUCAGCUGUGACGAGAUAAAAAAUUAGCGGGCAUAAAUAAAUGUCAGACAUGGGACGCACCAAGAAGAAGGUCUGCAUUGUAGGAAGUGGAAAUUGGGGAUCAGCGAUAGCUAAAAUUGUUGGAGCUAACACCGUUAAAUUCAAUAAUAAAUUCGAGGAGAGGGUAACCAUGUACGUUUACGAGGAGAUGAUUAACGGAAGAAAAUUGACAGAAAUUAUCAACCAGGAACACGAAAAUGUCAAAUAUCUACCCGGUCACAAACUUCCUGAGAAUGUCGUCGCGGUUCCUGACCUCAUUGAGGCGGCGAAAGAUGCAGAUUUUCUGAUCUUUGUUAUCCCCCAUCAAUUCAUUCGUACACUAUGUGCAACGAUGCUGGGCAAAAUUAAACCAACAGCCAUUGGAUUAUCACUGAUUAAGGGCUUUGAUCAAGGCGAGGGACAGUCCAUCGAACUCAUAUCAAAAAUCAUUGAAAAGAAUCUGAAAAUUCAGUGCUAUGUUCUAAUGGGUGCAAAUUUAGCAAAUGAAGUAGCCGAAGGAAAAUUCUGUGAGACUACAAUAGGCUGUAAAGACAAGCGUACCGCUCCACUUUUAAGAGACAUGAUACAAACGGAAAACUUCCGGGUUGUGGUCGUAGAAGAUGCCGAAGCUGUGGAAGUCUGCGGGGCAUUAAAAAACAUCGUUGCCUGCGCUGCGGGUUUCGUUGAUGGUCUUGGGCUAGGUGAUAAUACAAAAGCUGCGAUUAUUAGGCUGGGACUAAUGGAGAUGGUUAAAUUCGUUGACACAUUUUUUGGGGGUUCGAAACUCUCAACAUUUUUCGAAAGCUGCGGCGUUGCAGAUCUGAUCACAACUUGCUACGGUGGUAGGAAUCGAAGGGUUUGCGAACAGUUUGUGAAAACUGGAAAGACCAUAAAGCAGCUGGAGGAUGAACUUUUGGCUGGUCAGAAACUUCAGGGACCAGCGACAGCAGAUGAAGUAUUCGCGAUGCUAACAAGUCGUGGUGUGACAGAAAAAUUCCCACUUUUUACCGCGGUACAUCGCGUUUGCAUUGCUGAUCUAAAACCAACGGAUUUGAUCGACCAGAUUCGCAGCCAUCCUGAGCAUGUGUUCGCACCCAAAGCUUUGUACAUGUAUUGAAAAAAUUCCUCAACCCUCAUCAAGACUCAAGUGGAAUUAACAGACCUUGUGCAUGCUUAAAUGAUUUUUUAAUACACAUUUUCUUCAUACAAUAAGCUAUGAAUUUUUCGAAGACCAGGAUGAGACUGGAGGGUGUCAUCGAAGAUGAAGAUGAAGCGGUUGCACCUUAGGAUCCAGACAGCAGGUCGAAUAGCUUAUUUUAAAUUCUAGAAAAUUAAUAAAAUGAAUCUGAAAGGAAUUUGUCGGAAGGAAAGAAAUUCACUACUGUAAAUACUGUAAUUUAAUAUACUUUGUGUAUACAUAAUACAUUAGUUCAAUAUCAUAUUUAGACGAAUAAAUGACUUCGAACUCGUUGGUACUCAGA